Molecule: ribosomal RNA, 104 nt
Filed under: uncultured bacterium
Lineage: Bacteria
Description: partial 16S ribosomal RNA
Rfam family: Bacterial small subunit ribosomal RNA
Source: RNAcentral
CCUUGUACACACCGCCCGUCACACCACGAGAGUUUGUAACACCCGAAGUCGGUGGAGUAACCGCAAGGAGCUAGCCGCCUAAGGUGGGACAGAUGAUUGGGGUG